CUUCCUUUUUGUAGUGCCUACUAGUUACUAUGACUGCUCUACAGAUUCAAAUAUCCUGUUCUAUAUGUAGAGGAAUUUUUUUUUUUUCCUACAGCCCUUUCCUGACCUUGUGUUUUGCCAGUUUUUUGAGACUUUUUUUCCUCUGUCUCUCACCACUGCCUAUUCUAUCCAAGCCUCUCACUUAACUCUCCUUUUGAAACAUCCAGUCAUAAUUCUAAGGUCAGUUUGCAUUUUUUUUUCCCUCUUUCACUGAGUCCUACCCUUCCCAUCUUGUUAGCUCCUCUCCCCUACCCACCCCAGCUGGGAUGAGGAACUCUAGCAGCAAGAGUAGAAACCAACAUUCAGAUCCACAGUUGAACUGCUGAACUCAGCUCCAGGCCAGUGGACACCACAGUAUUGAUUGUAAUGCACACUCUAUUAUUUCAAAGAUAGAGAAUAGAUCAGAACCCCCACCAUUGUGGCUUUCAGAAUAUCUGUAGCAUGGCGGGGAAAGCUUGUUUCAAUAGCACAGAAUAAUGUUUCCUUGCCUUAAAUUACCUUUUCUUCCUGUUGGACACAGAGGCUGUUUAGGUGGGAGCUUUUUUAGGAAAGGACCUCAUAAUUCCACUCUGUCCAAGGAGUAUGCAACUACAGCUGGGACAUGGCUAUAAGACCUUCAUAUUUCACAGUCAAGAUACCAGCCACCUUUCCGGUAGACUGCCCUCUGCUGAUCAUCCCAAUUAUUUUUGCUGAGUUCGUGAAUUCCUUUCUGCCCUCUAAACCAGAGUCCUCUCUUUUAGACCCUAGAAUCACUGGGGCUUCAGUGAAAGAUCCCAAUCCUCCAGAGGCCACUCUUCAAAUUCCUUUUUUUUAGUUGUCUCAAAGACCAUGAACUAGUCAACAUGGGACUUCCUGCUAACUAAAAUCCACAACUAACUUCUACCUACCUAGCCCCUCGAUUGUCAAUUACCUAUCAUUCAUUUAGAAUACAGAUUUUGACAAAUCAUAUAAGCCUCAUUAAAUUGGCCAGAUAUUCUUUGUUUGCUCCUCCAAAUCCGCUCUCCAGUGUUCUCUGCCCUGUGCACCUAGAUGCUGGAAGUAUGAGCUGCCAAGGAGUUCACUACAUGUACAAAGCUUUCUUACUUUCUGGAUUCCAGUUGAACGCAGCCAGUGGGAUGCUCUGGCAGGAGAUGAGGCCAAGGGUUAACAAUGCUACCUUUCCCUCCCAAAGGCCACGAUUUCAAUAGCUCUUUCCUUCAGCUGCAGCUACAGCUACUGCUAUAGUUCCUUCAAGAUUCCAGGAAUUAUGGGCUCCUAUCCUUUCAAGCCUGGAGGCACCAAGAGCUCCCUGCUGUUGUUAGCCUUUGCUAGCUUCCUUUAACCUUUGUAAACAGUCUCUUCAACAAAUUCUUCUCUUUAACCACUGACUUCCUGCCGGGACCCUGUCUGAUAGGCCAAGGUACAACCAUAAUUCCCUCCUCUCCUGAAUGUGGUUGCUAUUUAGAAAAAUUACCAAUCAAUCUCUCCUACUCUACAGUCUCUAAAUCAGGAUUAUUUCAAGGAACUCAAAGUUACAGUUCUCCCCACUAAGGUGAAACUCUGAAGGGUCAGCUGAGGCAUUGCCCUAUGAGCAACAGAUCAGUAUCUUUCCCUUAAUUGGUGCUCCCUGGAAUGGAGAUUCACACCCGCUUUCCCCUCUCUAUAGCUGAGCAUUCAGCUGUACUAUCCCUAAGAAGUGACUCCUUUCCAGGGUUAACAAUUCAGCCUCUAUCCAGAGGCUUGGGGAAGCAUAUGCAAAAGAAUUCCCCCGUGGGUCCUGAAGUUAGCAAGCCCCAUGACUUAGACACACUAAAGAAACAUAAGGAAAAUCAUGAUUUAAAGUAUCAGAAGGCAUGUUUAUUAUAUAAACAUCUCAGCAAAAGCACUGUGCUCAGUAAAAACUACAUUUUACUCUCUUUAAAAUGAUUUUGAUGUAUUAGCCAGUAGUAUGAAUUCUUAUCCACUUUGGCCCAGUCGCUUCAUUCAUUCUGGGGCUAUUGGUAGUUCUCCUCUGAUCUUCCCCAGUAACAUAUUGGACACUUUCAGAGAUGGGGGAUUCAUCUUUUGGUGUCAUAUCUUUUGGGCCUUUUGUACAAUUCGUGACAGUCUUAUGGCAAGUAUACUGGGGUGGUUUGCUUUCCCUCCUCCAGUGGAUCAUGUUUUGUCAGAGCUCUGCCGUGACCCAUCAGUAUUGGGUGGCCCUGCACGGCGUGGCUCACAGCUUCAUUGAAUUACACAAGCUCCUUCACCACAACAAGGCAGUGAUCCAUGAAGGGGUUUUGCAGUCAGCAUGUCAGCAAAUCUGGAAGGCCUAGUAGUGGCCACAGGACUAGAAAAGGUCGAUCCUCAUCCCAAUCCCCAAGAAGGGUAGUACUAAACAAUGUGCUAACCAUCAGAAAAUUACACUCUUCUCCCGUGUUAGUAAGGUCAUGUUUAAAAUCUUGCAUGCUAGGCUUCAGCAUUAUGCGAACCAAAAACUUCCAGAUAUCCAAACUGGGUUUAGAAAAGGAAGAGAAACUAGAGAUCAAAUUGCCAACAUUUGCUGGAUUACAGAGAAAACAAGGAAGUUUCAGAAAAACAUCUAUCUCUUUUCAUCGACUAUGCUAAAGCCUUUGUGUGGAUCAUGACAAACUGUUUCCACAGCUCUUAGAGAGAAAGGAAUACCAGACCAUCUUACCUGUCUUCUGAGAAACCUGCAUAUGGGUCAAGAAGCUACAGUUAGAACCCUGUAUGGAACAAGUGAUUGGUUCAAGAUCAAGAAAGGAGUAUGGCAGGGCUGUCUGCUGUCACCCUGUUUAUAUAACCUAUAUCUGAGCACAUUGUGAGAAAUGCUGGGCUAGAUGAGUUACAAACUGGAAUCAAGAUAUGCAGAUGAUACCACUCUAAUGGCAGAAAGUGAAGAGGAACUAAAGAGCCUCCUGAUGAAAGUAAAAGAGAGUGAAAAAGCUGGCUUAAAACUCAACAUUCAAAAAACGAAGAUCACUUCACGGCAAAUAGAUGGAGAAACAAUGGAAACUGUGAGAGACUUUAUUUUCUUGGUCUCCAAAAUUGCUGCAGAUGGUGACUGCAGCCAUGAAAUUAAAAGAGGUUUGCUCCUUGGAAGAAAAGCUGUGACCAAUCUAGACAGCAUAUUAAAAAACAGAUAUCACUUUGCUGACAAAGGCCCACCUAGUUAAAGCUAUGGUUUUUUUCUGUAGUCAUGUAUGGAUGUAAGAGUUGGACCAUAAAGAAAACUGAGCGCAGAAGAAUUGAUGCUUUUGAACUGUGAUGUUGGAGAAUACUCUUGGAGAGUCCCUUGGACUGCAGGGAGGUCAAACCAGUCCAUCCUAAAGGAAAUCAGUCCUGAAUGUUCAUUGGAAGGACUGAUGCUGAAGCUGAAACUCCAAUACUUUGGCCACCUGAUGUGAAGAACUGACUCAUUGGAAAAAGCCUGAUGCUAGGAAAAAUUGAAGGUGGGAGGAGAAGGGAACAACAGAGGAUGAGAUGGUUGGAUAGCAUCACUGACUCAAUGGACAUGAGUUUGAGCAAGCUCCAGGAGUUAGUGAUGGACAGGGAAGCCUGGCAUCCCGCAGUCCAUGGGGUCGCAAAGAGUCAGACACAACUGAGUGACUGUAAACUGAACUGACUACACCAAUUAGAGUUUCAAAUAUGUCUAGAUUAGUGUGUGGACUAAGCACAUUCACUGCUGAAUGGAAUUAUUUUUUAAAAACAUAAAGGCUUUUUUGAUAUUUUAAUAUGUAUUAAUUUGGCUGCUCUAGUUGCAGCAUGUUGGAUCUUCUAUCUUCAUUGAGGCAUGUGAACUCCUAGUUGCAACAUGUAGGAUCUGGCUCCUUGACCAAGGAUCCAACCUGAUCCAGGAGCACUGAAUCUUAGCCACUGGACCACCACAGGAGUCCCCACAAUGCCUGGAUAAUUAGAGUUUUAGAUUUCUGCCAUUAUAUAAAAUUAAGUACCGAGGUGUUCUAUAAAGGCUCUCAUUAGACUUCUUUGCAACACUUCAUUACAACUUUUUUUUGUUUGUUUUGAAAUUGUGGUAAAAAAAAAAUAAACAUAAAAUUUACUAUUACUCAUUUUUUAAGUGUACUUUUCAGUGGCAUUAAAUACAUUCACAUUGUUGUGUAACUAUCACCACCAUCCAUCUCUGAAACUUUUUCAUCAUCCCAAGUUGAAACUCUUAUGUCCAUUAACAAAUGACUCUCCAUUCCUCCCUCUUUUCAGCCUCCAGAAACCAUUAUUACACUUUUUGUAUCUAUGAAUUUGACUAUUCUAGUGACCUCAUGUAAGUAGCGUCAGACAGUAUUUGUCGUUUUGUGUCUGUCUCAUGUCACUUAACAAUAUUUUCAAAGUUCAUCCACAUUGUAGCAUGUUACCAGACUUUCCUUCCUUUUCAAAACUGAAUAAGAUUCCGUUGUACAUAUAUGCCACACUCAGUUUAUUUGUUUUUCAUCUAAGGACAGCUGGAUUUUUUUUCUCAUCUUUUAGCUACUGUGAAUAAUGCUGCUAUGAACAUGGGUCUACAAAUUCUCUUUGAGACUCUGCUUCAGUUCUUUUGAAUAUAUACCCAGAAGUGAAACUGGUGGAUCAUUUGAUAAUUCUGUUUAAUUUUUUUGAGGAACCAUCAUACCAUCAUCCACAGUGGUUGCACCAUCUUACAUUUCCACCAGCAAUGCAUCAGGGUUCCGGCUUGUCUACAUCUUUGUCAACACUUUAUUACUUUGUUUUUUUUUUUAAACAAUAGCUAUCCUAAUGGGUGUGAGGUGAUGUGAUAUUGUGGUUUUGAUAUGCAUUUCCCUAGUGAUUAAUGAUGUCAAGCAUCUUUUCAUGUGUGUAUUGGCAUUUGUAUAUCUUGUUUAGAGAAGUAAGUAUCUAUUCAUGUCCUUUGCUCAUUUUUGAAUCAAGUUGUUUGUUUUGUUGUUGAGUUGUUGGAGAUUUAAAAAAAAAAAAAAUAUAUAUAUAUAUAUAUUCUCAAUAUUAAUCCCUUAUUCAGAUAGAUGAUUUGCAAGUAUUUUCUCCUAUUUUGUGUGUUAACUUUUCUCUAACUUGAUAGUGUCCUUUGAUGCAAAAAAAUAUUACAUUUUGAUGAAGUCCAAUUAUUUUGUCACUGAUGCUUUUGGUGUCAUAUCUAAAAAAUCAUUGUCAAACCCAUUGUCAUAAGAUUUUCCCCUAUAUUUUCUUCCAAGGCUUUUACAGUUUUAGCUGUUUUAUAGUUUUAGUUGUUAAGCUGUCUUUGAUCCACUUUUAGUUAAUUUUGCAUUUGGUGUAAGAGUCCUACUACAUUCUUUUGCAAGUGGAUAUCUAGUUUUCCCAGCAUUAUUUGUUGAAGAGACUAUCCUUUCUCUCUUGAAGGGUCUUAGCCUUGUCAGAAUCACUUGACAGUAUAUUUGAGGAAUCAUCUCAAGCUUUUAACCAUAGAAGGUUAUUCUUAUCUUUCUUUCCAGGCAGAAUUUUAAAUUUGAAUAAAUGCCACUAUAAUUAUCAACAUUUAUGGAUGUUCAAGCAACUAUGAUGCAAGAGAUCAAAUUAAAUGCAAGGGAUACAUGGAGAAAAAAGAUAUGGGCUCUGGUUAUGAAACUACCAAUUUAUUGGGGGAGAUAGAAUAUCUCAUUAAAAAAUGACCACAAAUAUAGGAUAGCACAUGCUAAUUUAAAAAUAAAUAGCACAGAGAUUACAUGUCUUGAGAGUUCAGAGCUUGUGGUUUUAGGGAUGGAUUUUAAGCAUUAAAAUAUCAGUAGGUGCAGAAAUAUUCACAGCAGUUUUAUUCAUAUUGGGCUUCCCAAGUGGCGCAAUGGUGAAGAACCCACCUGCCAAUGCAGGAGAUGCAAGAGACGCAGGUUGGAUCAAUCCCUGGGGUGGAGAAGAUCCCCUCGAGUAGGAAAUAGAAACCCAGUCCAGGAUUCUUACCUGGAAAAUUCCAUGGACAGAGGAGCCUGGCGGGCUUCAGUCUGUGGGAUCACAAAGAGUCAGACAACUAAGCAACUAAGCACAUUAUCUAUAUCAGCAAAAAGAAUGGAAGUUAUGCAAAUGUCCAUCAGCUGAUGAAUGGAUAAGCCAUAUGUGAUCAUAUUGAAUAAUGAAAUAUUAUUCAGCAGUCAAAAGAAAGUGGUGAUUGCCACAUGGAUGAACCUUAAAAACAUUAUGCUAAGUGGAAGAAACCAGCCACAAAGGACCACAUAUUGUGUUACUCCAUUUUUAUAAACUGUCAAGAAUAAGGAAAUCCAUACAAACAGAAAGUAAAUUACUGGUUUCCUAGGUCUGGACUGAAAGGAGGCAAGGGAGGAGAGAGGAAUGGAAAGUGACUGCUAAUGGGCAUAGAAUUUGUUUUGGGGCUGAUGAGAGUAUUUUGAAACUGAUUAUGAUGGUAAUUAUGCAACUCUGUAAAUGGUUGAAUUGUAUGGUAUGCAAGUUGUAUUCCAAUUAAGAUGUUAAUUUAAAAAUAGCCUCACCAAUCCCAUCUGUCCAGGUAAAAAUGUGAAUUUUAUCAUAUGUGAACUACAUGUCAACAAAGCAGUUAUUACAAAUGGAAGAAAAGAGGACUUCCCUGGCAGUCCAAUGGUUAAGACUCUGGUCUUCCAAUACAGGGGGCACAGGUUCAAUCCCUCGUUGGGGAACUAAGAUCCUGCACAGUGAGGCAAAAAAAUUAAAAAGAAAACAUACCAAAGAUUCCAAUCAGUAAUCCAGAAAGAACUAUAGUCUGGGCCAGAUGACCUGUUUCUCUUAGGUUUAUAGAAUCCUAUCUGAAGCAAUGCAAAAGUAUGAAUUUUUAAUAUCUGAGACAGUGGGCAAUUAUUGAAUGUUUUUGUUUAAGGUAAUGAUACACUAAUGUGUUUUAGAAACACUGAUACUGGUGGCUCUCAUUAGGCUGGACUGGAAUGGAGAGGGACUGGAAGAAUAAAACCUGCUGAGGUAGCUGUUAAAAUAUUCUAGAAUAGUAGUUUCCAAAUGCUGACCAACAGUGUCAGCAUCACCUAGGAAUUUGUUAGAAAGGCAAAUUCUUGGUUCCCACCUCAGAGCUAGAAUCAAAAACUCUACAUUAGGGUCCAACAGUUUGUGUUUUAAUACAUCCUCUUGGAGAUUCUGAUACAGGAAAAUAUUUAAGAAUAUUUCUGCUCUAGGAGAAAAGUAAUGGGCAUCUGAGAGACAGUGGUAAAGAUGUACAUGAAGAAACGCUUGUAAUAUAUAGGUAAUGUAUUUCUCGUCAACUAUUUGAAAAUAAAGGCAAGAGGAAGGAAAGAAGCACAGAAGAUUCACAGAUUUUCUCUGUUGUCAUUAACAAAUAUAGGGAGGAGAGGUAGAGGUGCUAGUAUAGGAAGAAGACAAUGAAUUCAAAUAUUUACAUUCUGAGCUGAUUUACGGAGUGGACACUGUUAAUUGCCUGUCCAAAUUCGGUUCUCUCACUGUUGGUCUUUUUUUUUCACUGUUGGUCUUUAUAUGGACUGGAACCUGGUGGUCUGGAGUCGACAAUGAGAAAGUGAAAGAAGGAAAGAGGCUACUAUUCCCCAGGUUACACAGCCAGCCUUCACGCUCCAGGGAAUUAGCCAGAAAUAGCGAGCGAGAGAGAGAGAGAGAGAAAGGAAUAUACGGGGACCCAAGCUCUGAUGGAGCAAAGGUGUUUUAUUCAACAUGGUGUGGGCAUGUAUACUGUCUAACAAGGUAGUUAUUCUCAGCAAAGAUAAAGAUUAAAAUUCCAGACUUACAAAACAUAAAGUGAUCCAUAUGAAAGAGAGAGAGUUGUAAACAAUCACUUUUACCAUAUGGUUCAUAAGAAGGAAGAGGGUACUUAUCACCGUAUUGGUUUUGAAAAACUAACGAAGGAAAUGCGUGGAUUCCUCAGCCCCAGGAGAGGCUUGCCUCUCCUCUUAAUUCCGGAAUAUUCAGGAAUUAAUAAGGAACAGAGGAUUCAUGACAGAUCCAAAACAGCACACAGGAAGCCUCCUGUUAAAUGCUUCCUGACACCUCACCUGCCCCAUUUCCUUCUUAGCUAAGCCCCUUUUUGUGCAAGUGUUCGUCCUCCAUGUGGCCAUGUACGUCAGGGAGUAUGCACACCUCCCUAACCUAACAGGUGACUGUUGGCUGAUAGUAGUUACAGUUGUAAUAAUUAGGUUAGGCAUGAGCGUGUUCUAUAAUUCUGGCCAGUGAGCAAUGAGGGGAGAUCUGCUGGGGUUCUGAGACGGAAGAAGGAGCUUUCUUUAAAAGGACAUAAAUCAGGGUCAUUCCUUUGUUUCCUGCCUCUAGGUUAGCUGAUCCACACAGUCAAAGGUUUUGGCAUAGUCAAUAAAGCAGAAAUAGAUGUUUUUCUGGAACUCUCUUGCUUUUUCGAUGAUCCAGCAGAUGUUGGCAAUUUGAUCUCUGGUUCCUCUGCCUUUUCUAAAACCAGCUUGAACAUCUGUAAGUUCACGGUUCACAUAUUGCUAAAGCCCGGCUUGGAGAAUUUUGAGCAUUACUUUACUAGCGCGUGAGAUAAGUGCAAUUGUGCGGUAGUUUGAGCAUUCUUUGGCAUUGCCUUUCCUUGGGAUUGGAAUGAAAAUUAGUCUUUUCCAGUCCUGUGCCCACUGCUGAGUUUUCCAAAUUUGCUGAUAUGCUGAGUGCAGCACUCUCACAGCAUCAUCUUUCAGGAUUUGAAGUAGCUCAACUGGAAUUCCAUCACCUCCACUAGCUUUGUUCAUAGGGAUGCUUCCUAAGGCCCACCUGACUUCACAUUCCAGGAUGUCUGGCUCUAGACUACAUCACGCUGGGCUGGAAGAAGCACAUGCUGGAAUCAAGAUUGCCGGGAGAAAUAUCAAUAACCUCAGAUAUGCAGAUGACACCACCCUUAUGGCAGAAAGUGAAGAAGAACUAAAGAGCCUUUUGAUGAAAGUGAAAAAGGAGAGUGAAAAGUUGGCUUAAAGCUCAACAUUCAGAAAACAAAGAUCAUGGCAUCCGGUCCCAUCACUUCAUGGCAAAUAGAUGAAGAAACAGUGGAAACAGUGGCUGACUUUAAUUUUUUGGGCUCCAAAUCACUGCAGAUGGUGACUGCAGCCAUGAAAUUAAAAGAUGCUUACUCCUUGGAAGAAAAUUUAUGACCAGCUAGACAGCAUAUUAAAAAGUAGAGACAUUACUUUGUCAACAAAGGUCCAUCUAGUCAAGCCUAUGGUUUUUCCAGUAGUCGUGUGUGGAUGUGAGAGUUGGACUAUGAAGAAAGCUGCUUUUUGAACUCUGUGGGAGAAGGUGAGGGUGGGAUGUUUCAAAGGAACAGCAUGUAUACUAUCUAUGGUGAAACAGAUCACCAACCCAGGUGGGAUGCAUGAGACAAGUGCUCCGGCCUGGUGCACUGGGAAGACCCAGAGGAAUCGGGUGGAGAAGGAGGUAGGAGGGGGGGAUCGGGAUGGGGAAUACGUGUAAAUCUAUGGCUGAUUCAUAUCAAUGUAUGACAAAACCCACUGAAAUGUUGUGAAGUAAUUAGCCUCCAACUAAUAAAAAAUAAAAAUAAAUAAAAAGAAAGCUGCUGCUGCUGCUGCUAAGUCGCUUCAGUCGUGUCCAAUUCUGUGUGACCCCAUAGACGGUAGCCCACGAGGCUCUGUCCACAGGAUUCUCCAGGCAAGAAUACUGGAGUGGGUUGCCAUUUCCUUCUCCCUAAAGAAAGCUGAGCACCAAAGAGUUGAUGCUUUUGAACUGUGGUGUUGGAGAAGACUCUUGAGAGUCCCUUGGACUGCAAGGAGAUCCAACCAGCCCAUCCUAAAGGAGAUCAGUCCUGGGUGUUCAUUGGAAGGACUGAUGCUGAAGCUGAAACUCCAAUACUUUGACCAUCUGAUGUGAAAAGCUGACUCAUUUGAAAAGACCCUGAUGCUGGGGAAGAUUGAGGACAGGAGGAGAAGGGGACAACAGAGGAUGAGAUGGUUAGAUGUCAUCACCAACUCAAUGGACAUGGGUUUGGGUAGACUCCAGCAGUUGGUGAUGGACAGGGAGGCCUGGCCUGCUGCAGUUCAUGGGGGGUUGCAAAGAGUUGGACAUGACUGAGCAACUGAACUGAACUGAACUGAGGUUAGCUGAACUGAAACUGCUACAGCCAUCUCCUUACUGUAAGGGUACUAUUUAACAGUGUUCUGAUAGUUCUAGACAGUUCAAAGUUCCAGGGAAUAGAAGGAACAUUUUGAGAAUUUACUUGGUGUCAGACAUGCUCAGGUACUUUACACAUAUGAUUAUGUUAUUAGAAUGUAAGUUAACUUUUACUCUCAUAAUAACUUCAUUUUGCAGAUGAGGAAACUGAAAGAUGGCAAAUUAACGUGCCCAACACAAAGUUAAAUACUAGGAAAUGAAAAAGGAUUCCCACAGGUCUUUGACUCCAGAACUUACACCCUUAACAUCAUUGCUCAACUUACAAUGAUCAGAAAACAGGGGACAAGAUUGUAAUUAUUUGUAGAUACUAUGACUGUUAACAAAAGAAAAAUAUUAAUGAAAGUUUUUUAGAAAUAUUGAAUUCAGUAUGUAUAAGAAAUUAACUAGUAUAAAUCUCAACCAAGUAGAACUGGAAGAUCAGAAUGGGGAACUCUCAUGCCCUGUAGUGAUAGCAGAGCCCAGUAGGAAGAAGAAAGACUCUUUUUCCUGGUAAGGACUCAGCCAAUGAAAGGCUAAGAACUCUUUGUUUAUUAUAGCCCUACCAACUCCUUUUUCAACCUAUAAACUUGUUCUCCUUCCCUUGCCAUGAGGAGGACUGUUCGUGGUUGCAGACCCCAAAUUGCAAUAAUAUUCUAAUCCCAAAUAAACCCAUCAUUGCUGAAGAGAUAUCUGGCAGUCUGUUUGUUUUAGGUCAAUGUUUUGGUGGCCCGUACAGGGACCAGAGAAGACCCUGGAAGACUCUGGAGCUGAUAGCAAACAAGUGCAGAACCUACAAACUGAGCCCAUUGUCACUCACUACUUUCCUCACCAACCCUGAAGUUUGGAGGUGCAUCUUUCUCCUGGAUCCAAGCUCACAUCCUGGUUGCAUGUUGAAGCUCUUCAGGUUUCUAAGGUUUUUUCUUCCAGGGAGGUCCUGGUAAGGAACGUGGAACUAAUAAGCCACCACCAACUGGAAGAAUUCGGGAAAGGUCAAAAGGUGACACCACAUGUCCAACCACCUCCCAGAAUCAUCCUCGCUGGCAUCCACCUUAGCUGAGCAGUGCAUGCACCACGAGGAAGGACUCUGAGUCAGAAUGAUUGGCCAAAGACAACCCAGAAACUAAUCCCACCACCAUAAAACCCAAGACUGUGAGCCAUGUGGCCGAGCAGUUCUCCUGGGUUCCCUUACCCUCCUGCUCUCCACCCAGACACCCCUUCCCAAUAAACCCCUUUGUCAGCACAUGUGUCUCCUUGAACAAUUCAUUUCUGAGUAUGAGACAAGAGCCCACUUUUGGGCCCUGGAAGGGGUCCCCCUUCCUGCAACAAGUGGUGAUUCUGGUGGGAUUCUUCUUCACUGUGACUGAUAUCCUGACCAAUUAGGGUACUUAUUGACCAGCUUGCCCACUGAUGAACCAGACCCAGUGGCUGCAACUGGGACCCUUUUGUCCAUGGUCUCCUCUUGACGUGGACAACUGUCCAGAGUGCCCCAACCGGCUAAGGAAUAAGAGACUUUAUUGACCUCUCUCCGCUUCCCUCUCUCUUUCCUCUCCUUCAGUUCAGUUCAGUUCAGUCGCUCAGUUGUGUCCGAC
Molecule: long non-coding RNA, 11678 nt
Organism: Dama dama (fallow deer)
Lineage: Eukaryota; Metazoa; Chordata; Mammalia; Artiodactyla; Cervidae
Exons: 3
Source: RefSeq, a predicted model, not a curated record